AUGGCUUGGAAAAAUUCAGUUCAGAGUUCAAAGCGCCACCUUGCAACAAACAGCGCCAUGGAAACAGCUGUGGAGUGUUUGCAUUGAUGACUGCCAAAUGUUUGGUCAUGAAAAAGCAUCCCACAAUGUUGCGACAGGCCCAUGAUUCAGUUUAUCGAGACUAGUCGUGAGACGCAGACUUCUGAUUCAUGGGGUGCGGCAAACAUAUCUGUGCGACUCGAUGACUUCACUGUAAAGACCCGCACGGCAUUAAAAUGGAUAUUAUCAAUAUGUGUUGUUUCUCGAAAAUAUGUUUUUGUAGCAGGAAGUGCUUUGGGCUCGAUUAAUCUGAGAACUCAACAAAAUAUUAAUAAAAUCCUUCUGUGCCAAAAACA
Dreissena polymorpha is the source of this 374-nucleotide long non-coding RNA. RefSeq lists it as uncharacterized. The record is from RefSeq and is a predicted model, not a curated record. The transcript is spliced from 2 exons. NCBI's taxonomy places the organism in Eukaryota, Metazoa, Mollusca, Bivalvia, Myida, Dreissenidae.